CUUGGUGGCACAAGCGAAGAGGUCACACCUGUUCCCAUCCCGAACACAGCAGUUAAGCUCUUCUGCGCUGAUGAUAGCAGUAAUGCAAAAGUAGGCCGCCGCCAGGA
RNAcentral lists this ribosomal RNA (107 nucleotides) under Candidatus Magasanikbacteria bacterium RIFOXYA2_FULL_44_8. The record is from RNAcentral. Lineage: Bacteria; Candidatus Magasanikiibacteriota.